Molecule: ribosomal RNA, 413 nt
Filed under: uncultured Acidobacteriota bacterium
Lineage: Bacteria; Pseudomonadati; Acidobacteriota
Description: bacterial SSU rRNA
Rfam family: Bacterial small subunit ribosomal RNA
Source: RNAcentral
UAAUGGCUUACCAAGGCGAAGAUCGGUAUCCGGCCUGAGAGGGCGCACGGACACACUGGAACUGAAACACGGUCCAGACUCCUACGGGAGGCAGCAGUGGGGAAUUUUGCGCAAUGGGGGAAACCCUGACGCAGCAACGCCGCGUGGAGGAUGAAGCCCCUUGGGGUGUAAACUCCUUUCGACCGGGAAAAUAAUGAUGGUACCGGUGGAAGAAGCACCGGCUAACUCUGUGCCAGCAGCCGCGGUAAUACAGAGGGUGCGAGCGUUGUUCGGAAUUAUUGGGCGUAAAGGGCGCGUAGGCGGUGUGGUAAGUCACCUGUGAAACCUCUAGGCUUAACCUAGAGCCUGCAGGCGAAACUGCCGUGCUGGAGUAUGGGAGAGGUGCGUGGAAUUCCCGGUGUAGCGGUGAAAUG